UAUUUUGUGUCACUAAAGCGAUACCAGUAAUUUAAUUCAUUUUGAGUUUUGGCCGGAGUUUCCCUUUAAUAGGUUGAAAAAAUUUACCAUCAAGAAUGGAGUGCGGUUAUUCCUUCAACAUCUUCCUUAGGCGACACCUUCUGAAGCAAAAUUUCACAAAAGGUGAACCUCUAUAAAUAGGUACAGUGUCCCCCAACUAAUCCGGGUCUCUUUUUCUCUUUCUCUUUCUCUAGGACGCAGACAAUACUUUGAAGUGGACAGUCUCCCAAAGAGGGCGAGGAGGAGAGGCACCUUAUGAAGUGAAGGGAAAGGAGAAAAGGGAAACCUCAUCAGGCAGUGGAGGAAAGGAGGGACUUCGGAAAGGAGGAAGAUGAACGGAGCCUAACAAAAGGAAGGAGGAACCAAAAGAAAAUGAGGCGCGACGGUGCCGAAGCUUCCGGUAAGAAGCAAGCAAACAAGCAAACAAAUAUUUCCCUCCCUUUUAGAGAGGUGUCAUCUGCUAGCAACUCAACCCGCCAACUGCAAACAGCCGUCCCCAUUGACAUUGUGCUGACGCCUGGGCCAUGUGGAACUGGAGGUAGCCAAGUCAUCAAAGAAGAUACGACUUCGGCUCAUUCAGAAACCAUGCGAACUACGGCGUAAGAGGCCCGGGGCACCGGGACAGCUGGCUGAAUAAACACCUAAGCCUUUCAAACACUGACGU
This is a long non-coding RNA of Ixodes scapularis (black-legged tick), 703 nucleotides long. RefSeq lists it as uncharacterized. The transcript has 3 exons. The record is from RefSeq and is a predicted model, not a curated record. NCBI's taxonomy places the organism in Eukaryota, Metazoa, Arthropoda, Arachnida, Ixodida, Ixodidae.